GAUGAACGCUAGCGGCAGGCCUAAUACAUGCAAGUCGGACGGGAUUCAGGAGCUUGCUUCUGAUGAGAGUGGCGCACGGGUUCGUAACACGUAUGUAACCUACCUUUAUCAGGGGGAUAGCCUCUCGAAAGAGAGAUUAAGCCCGCAUAAAAUCACAGCACAGCAUUGUGUAAUGAUCAAAUAUUUAUAGGAUAAAGAUGGGCAUGCGGAACAUUAGCUAGAUGGCGGGGUAACGGCCCGCCAUGGCGACGAUGUUUAGGGGAUCUGAGAGGAUGGCCCCCCACACUGGUACUGAGAAACGGACCAGAAUCCUACGGGAGGCAGCAGUAAGGAAUAUUGGUCAAAGAGCGGAAGCCUGAACCAGCCAGGCCGCGUGCAGGAAGACGGCCCUACGGGUUGUAGACUGCUUUUAUACGGGAAUAAACCCAGAUACGUGUAUCUGGCUGAAUGUACUGUAAGAAUAAGGAUCGGCUAACUCCGU
Molecule: ribosomal RNA, 481 nt
Filed under: uncultured bacterium
Lineage: Bacteria
Description: partial 16S ribosomal RNA
Rfam family: Bacterial small subunit ribosomal RNA
Source: RNAcentral